UACGUAGGGGGCAAGCGUUGUCCGGAAUCAUUGGGCGUAAAGCGCGUGUAGGCGGUCCGGUAAGUCCGCUGUGAAAGUCGGGGGCUUAACCCUCGGAUGCCGGUGGAUACUGUCGGGCUUGAGUACGGAAGGGGCGAGUGGAAUUCCUGGUGUAGCGGUGAAAUGCGCAGAUAUCAGGAGGAACACCAAUGGCGAAGGCAGCUCGCUGGAACGGUACUGACGCUGAGGCGCGAAAGCGUGGGGAGCGAACAGG
RNAcentral lists this ribosomal RNA (253 nucleotides) under uncultured bacterium. RNAcentral's name for it is "partial 16S ribosomal RNA". It matches the Rfam family "Bacterial small subunit ribosomal RNA", at positions 524 to 776 of the family's 1533-position model. The record is from RNAcentral.